GUGUCUAAUGGGACAUCACCGUUCCAUGGCUCUUGUUCGGUCAGAUCUCCCUCCAGAAGACUCAAAACACUUUGUAAAGGCUGGUGACAUCUAGUGGAAGCAAUAGGAAGUGCCAAAAUAUUCCUAAACCCCUGUGUUUUUCAAUGGGAUAGGUUUAAAGUCAAUACAACACAUCAGGUAUCCACUUCCUGUCAGAAAAUGUCUCAGGGUUUUGCCUGCCAAAUGAGUUCUGUUAUACUCACAGACACCAUUCAAACAGUUUUGGAAACUUUAGAGUGUUUUCUAUCAAUAUAUAAUAAGUAUAUGCAUAUUCUAGUUACUGGGUAGGAUUAGUAACCAGAUUAAAUCGGGUACAUUUUUUUUAUCCAGACGUGCAAAUGCUGCCCCCUAGACCCAACAGGUUAAGUACAUAGGAUAUAUUCUAAGCCAACAGGACAGGGAUAUAUGACAUCUGUGGUGAUCAUGAAGAGUAUGGAGAUACAUUUAAGUAGCUAUGGAAUCAUCUCAGGGAUUACUAUUAUAAGACGUGGAUUUUUCUAAAAUACAUGAGAGCCUUGUGUCAAAAGGGUGGGCCAGGAGGAGAGCAAGAUAGAGAGCAGAAGGUAAGAUUCCCAUAAUAAGUCAGGAUUGAGAGAAGAUAGAAGUGAUACAGAAUUGUUAGAUAACAGUUACUGAGUGGAGAGCAGCAUAGUUAAGUUUUAGGCAGGUAAAAAUGAAAACUGAAUUGUAGAAGUGAGAACUUAACCUGGGGUCCACUUAGACGUGGGGCCCGAUUAAUGUCAGGAUGAUUUGUUUUUAACUUAGGAACAGGAAGAAGAGUUAAAAGCGGUACACUCCGUGUUAGAUUCCCAAGGACCCAUUGAUGUGGGGUUAAUUAAAGGAGUUAUUUUAGUGUGAAUUACAGGAGAAGAUGAUUCACUCAAUCCAACCAGGAGACUGGGUGUGGAUCCAGUCCCUGAGGAGAAAAGAACUGGAAGCAGCCACGGUGGGAGGGCCCAUACCAAGUGUUCCUGGUAAUAGCCUUCGUGUUGAGAAUAGCUGAAAGAGCUACCUGGGUUCAUAUCACACAUUGCGGGAGGGUAAGACACACUGACACUGUCGAACAAUCACAGAGUUAGGAGAAGAACCGAAUACCAAUAAGGUUUGGGGGUUACCUCUCUAACGAAGAUUCCCUAACCCGCCCGAUCCUCACUGUGUGCGUUCAUAGAAGUGAAAGUGUGGGUUGGCCUCUAGCCAGUGAUAUAUUCACCGGGAGGGGAUGGGGCUUUACAGGGGUACUGGUCAGUCUGAGCUGUCUGAUUGUGGGAGCCAUAUUCCUAAUACACCAUGAACCACUCCAGAAGUCAGAAAGUGGUAACUUGACCCAUAGUGUAGAAGAUGAGGAGUUUUUAUGGCCUAGGUACAAAAGGUCACUCGAUCUGGAUAAAAAGGAAGUGAGAGUAGAGUUAGGGAAGGAUGUCUCAAUAGAGUUCUAUGCAGACCAAAUGGGGUCCCUA
This 1496-nucleotide long non-coding RNA is filed under the name Salmo salar (Atlantic salmon). Its description in RNAcentral is "lncRNA (ENSSSAG00000093627.1)". The record is from RNAcentral. Lineage: Eukaryota; Metazoa; Chordata; Actinopteri; Salmoniformes; Salmonidae.